CAAGAUGUAGCUUAUAAACUACAUAAAGUUUAUUACUUACACUAAUAAGGAAAAAUUAAUUCUUCUUG
RNAcentral lists this transfer RNA (68 nucleotides) under Petalocephala chlorophana. Its description in RNAcentral is "tRNA-Val". The record is from RNAcentral. Lineage: Eukaryota; Metazoa; Arthropoda; Insecta; Hemiptera; Cicadellidae.